Molecule: RNA transcript, 3823 nt
Organism: Phyllopteryx taeniolatus (common seadragon)
Lineage: Eukaryota; Metazoa; Chordata; Actinopteri; Syngnathiformes; Syngnathidae
Gene: gaa
Gene name: alpha glucosidase
Exons: 18
Source: RefSeq, a predicted model, not a curated record
UGGGAUAAGAUCCAGCGCCCCCGGGACCCUAAACACCAUAAGCAAAUAUGGAAAAUGGAAACAGGCUACGUAAAUAUAAAAUCUUAUGUACACUGCAUGGUUUAAUAGUGAGUUUCAGCUCCUCACACAAACCGGCGGAUGGAACAGUUGUCUAGUAAAAGAAAGCUGUUGAAUUUCUAAAAAUUGCUGAAAUCAGUCUCGAUAUGUUGUACACUGGCUUCGAACAUCGAGGAGACAAUCAUCUCAAGAAGUUAAAGAAGAAUACAUUGAGGAAAAAAAGGAGUAAAUUCAUGCAGCAAAUAUUGCAAGACUCUUGCUGACUAAAGAACGCACUUCGCUGUUUUAAUGUUGUAGAAUAAAAAGAAAAUCAUAUUAUUCCAAAUAUUCUUCGAGCUAUUGAGUGUAUUUAGCUGUUUAGAAUUGCUAUACGCUGUCCGGGGUAACGUUUCAGUUGUACUAUUUGGCAAUUUUGACCUCCUUCGCUUGCCGUUCGCUGUGCUGACUACUUUAAUGACACUGAGAAAAAUGGGACAUUGCAGUGCCGCCGCGAAUGGACUGCUCCACUUUGAAUCGCUUACGAAGUUAAUUCGAAGGCUCCAUGGCGCGCUGGCUCAAGCUAAGUGCAGCCGCGCUUCUGGCUGUGGCAUUUUCGACAUUGUGCCACUUCCGCCACUCGCUCAUUCUCAACAGCAGACUCGCUGGAAAUGGCGGGCCGCCGAAGCCGAAGCUAAGGCGCACGCUCCGUCACAGACUCGAGCCAGCGGACAAUGCCGCGGAGGCCCGACCGCCGCGCUGCGUCAUGCCGCCGGAGAGACGCUUCGACUGUGGCCGGGACCGAGCGCUCGGUCGGCGGGAGUGUGAGCGGAGGGCUUGCUGUUACGCUCCCCUCGACGACUCCUCAGCGGCUCCGUGGUGCUUCUACCCUCACUCGUACCCCGGCUACCAAAUGGGCGUCCUGACGCCCACCCUGCGCGGUCGGGCGGCCACCUUGACCCGCGCCUCGGCCUCCUACCUGCCGCGAGAUGUCGCCGUUCUGCACCUGGAAGAAACUCGCCAGUCGGCGGGCUGCUUGCGCCUCACAUUGAAGGAUCCAUGGUCCGAGCGCUAUGAAGUUGAGCUCCCUGGUGGAGUUCCUCAGGGCAAAGGCAGCAGCCAAGAUGCCCUCUAUACCAUUGCGUACGAGUCCAACCCGUUUGGAUUCAUCGUGAGGCGCGCAUCCAAUGGAAGGGUCAUCAUGAACAGCACAGUGGCUCCUCUCUUGUUUGCUGAGCAGUAUCUGCAGCUGUCCACCACUCUGGCAUCCUCGCUGGUGUCCGGCCUGGGGGAGCAUUACACGUCCCUCCUCUUGGACCUCAACUGGACCUCCUUGACCCUCUGGAACAGGGACAUGGCUCCUCAUGCCGGUGCAAAUCUCUACGGCUCGCACCCGUUCUAUGUGGUACAGGAGGAGGAUGGACUCGCACACGGAGUGUUCCUUCUCAACAGCAAUGCCAUUGAGGUGGUCUUGCAGCCUCUGCCAGCUCUCACGUGGGUGUCCACCGGCGGAAUCCUCGACCUGUACGUCUUCAUGGGUCCCGAUGCUCAGACCGUUAUUCGGCAGUACCUGCGAGUUAUCGGAUAUCCCAUGAUGCCUCCCUAUUGGUCACUGGGCUUCCACCUGUGUCGCUGGGGCUACAAAAGCACGAAUGCCACGCGGCAGGUGGCUCAGCGGAUGCACGAUGCCAACUUCCCCAUGGAUGUGCAGUGGAACGACCUGGACUACGCGAGCCAAGGCAGAGUCUUCACCAAGGACCCGUUGCGAUUCGGGGACCUGAAGGAGAUGGUGGACGAAUUCCACCAGAGAGGCAUCAAGUACGUCCUCAUCCUGGACCCCGGGAUCAGCGCUACUAGUCCUCCCGGAACUUACCAACCCUUCGACGAUGGACUCAAACGAGACGUGUUCAUCCAAAACGCCACGGGUCACCUCCUCUUAGGCAAGGUUUGGCCUGGUUUUACGGCCUUCCCUGACUUCACCAACCCAGAGACCAGACAGUGGUGGCAAGACUGUAUUGUGGAUUUUUACUCUGAAGUGCCCCUGGAUGGAUUAUGGAUUGACAUGAACGAACCAACCAGUUUUGUGUCGGGCUCAACGGAGGGUUGCCCUGAGACCGAGCUCGAGAACCCGCCGUACACACCCAUCCAAACAGGGGUGCUCGGAGGCCGCCUGAGCUCGUGGACUCUUUGUAUGUCGGCUCGGCAGAAGCGCUCCGCUCACUACGACCUGCACAACGUGUACGGACUCACUCAAGCGUUCGCCACUCACAGCGCGCUUGUGAAAGCGCGAGGGAAGAGGCCGUUUGUCCUGUCGCGCUCGUCCUUCCCGAGCAUCGGACGCUUUUCCGGAGUGUGGACCGGAGAUGUUCGGAGCGACUGGGAACAACUUGCCUACUCCAUCCCUUCGGUGCUGCGGUUCGGCCUCUUCGGGGUCCCCCUGGCGGGGGCGGACGUCUGCGGCUUCGGAGGCGACGCCAGCGAGGAGCUGUGCGUGCGCUGGAUGCAACUCGGGGCCUUCUACCCGUUCAUGAGGAACCAUAACGACCGGCCGAACGCCCCUCAGGAGCCUUACGUCUUCGGGCAGAAGGCCCAGGCGGCCAUGCGGGGCGCGCUGAGGCUUCGUUACUCCCUGCUCCCGUUUCUCUACACGCUCUUCCAUCACGCACACGCCUCCGGAGACACCGUGGCCAGGCCGCUCUUCAUGGAGUUUCCCGCCGACCCUCGCUGUCGGGUCAUAGACAGGCAGUUCCUCUGGGGGAGUUCUGUCCUCGUCAGUCCGGUUUUGGAGGCGGGCGCGACGGAGGUGUCCGCUUACCUGCCGCCCGGCACUUGGUACAACCUGCGCAGUGUGAGCCGCGCGACUUCGAUUCAUCGAUUUAUCGGCUCGCGUCGUCACGUGGACCAAAACGAUCGAUCCGUUGCUCUUCGUCAGGGUCGGCCGACGUACAGCGAAGGCGAGGACGUGCUUCUGUCGGCCCCUCUGGACACCGUCAACAUCCACGUGAGGGAGGGACACAUUAUCCCCCGGCAGGAGCCCGCUUUAACGAGCGCGGUCUCGCGCACAAACGCCUUCUUCCUGACGGUGGCGCUCUCAGCGGACGGCACGGCCCGGGGCGACUUGUUCUGGGACGACGGCGACAGCGUCGACACUUUCCAAACGGGAAAUUACUCCUACGUCCUCUUCACUGCUGGACAGACACCAGGCGGGGCUGAAAAGCGACCAGAUGGCCACGAAGAAAGCGCAAAUCUCCCGCAUCGCUCAAGCGUUUGUUGUUUACCAGCGGUGCCGUCAGAGGAACUUCUGCGUCUCGCCACCCAGAAGUACGAGCGCUGUUUUUCUUUGGAGCUUUUAAUACCUCGCCGCUUCAGUCGCAGGUGGCGAGUGAGCCCAUCCGGCUGAACGGAGCCCUGGACGGUCUCGUGCUGGGGGGGACGCGGGUGUUCGGCGUGCCCUGGCCGCCCCGAUACGUGGCGGCCAACGGGGAGGAAGUGAAGGAUUUCACGUAUAACGCCGACACGAAGGUUUUAAAAGUGAGCAGUCUGGCCUUGCCCAUGUCCAAGAUGUUUACAGUCCAGUGGGCACUGACAAGCGCCGCUCCCUGUUACCCAUGAUGCCAGUGGAGACGUUUUUUUUUUUGGGGAUAUACGGGUAUCGUCACAGCAGCUUGGAUGUGAACGUCUCAUUUCUUUGUUGUCACAGCUCGACUGGAUCUUAAGUUUUGCCCAUUUUAUGUCAAUUAUGUACAUUGUUCAAAGUAUUUUGAAAUUAAAAGAUAGAUAUACACUGUAA